This 283-nucleotide unclassified non-coding RNA is filed under the name plant metagenome. Its description in RNAcentral is "partial contains small subunit ribosomal RNA, internal transcribed spacer 1, and 5.8S ribosomal RNA". The stretch from base 1 to 53 matches the Rfam family "Eukaryotic small subunit ribosomal RNA", at positions 1778 to 1831 of the family's 1831-position model. The record is from RNAcentral.
GGAAGUAAAAGCGUAACAAGGUUUCCGUAGGUGAACCUGCGGAAGGAUCAUUAUUGUAUAACCGAGGUGCGAGGGCUGUCGCUGACCCGAAAGGUCGUGCACGCCCGAGUGCCCUCACACACAUCCAUCUCACCCCUAUGUGCACCACCGCGCGGGUCCCCCUUGGCUUGUUCGGAGGGGGGCUUACGUUUUCACACAAACUUUGUAUGCAGUGUAGAAUGUAUUUUUUGUUUUUGCGAUCACGCAAUCAAUACAACUUUCAACAACGGAUCUCUUGGCUCUC